RNAcentral lists this ribosomal RNA (164 nucleotides) under Wikstroemia pampaninii. Its description in RNAcentral is "5.8S ribosomal RNA". It matches the Rfam family "5.8S ribosomal RNA". From Rfam's summary of the family: 5.8S ribosomal RNA (5.8S rRNA) is a component of the large subunit of the eukaryotic ribosome. Lineage: Eukaryota; Viridiplantae; Streptophyta; Magnoliopsida; Malvales; Thymelaeaceae. The record is from RNAcentral.
AGAACGACUCUCGGCAACGGAUAUCUUGGCUCUCGCAUCGAUGAAGAACGUAGCGAAAUGCGAUACUUGGUGUGAAUUGCAGAAUCCCGUGAACCAUCGAGUCUUUGAACGCAAGUUGCGCCCCAAGCCUUCGGGCCGAGGGCACGUCUGCCUGGGUGUCACGC